This 73-nucleotide transfer RNA is filed under the name Penaeus vannamei (Pacific white shrimp). Its description in RNAcentral is "Litopenaeus vannamei (Pacific white shrimp) tRNA". It matches the Rfam family "tRNA". Rfam says of the family: Transfer RNA (tRNA) molecules are approximately 80 nucleotides in length. The record is from Rfam by way of RNAcentral. Lineage: Eukaryota; Metazoa; Arthropoda; Malacostraca; Decapoda; Penaeidae.
GCCUAAAUAGCUUAGUUGGGAGAGCGUUAGACUGUAGAUCUAAAGGUCCCCAGUUCGAUUCCGGGUCUGGGCA